CAUACAGCUCAGUAGCACGUGGCUAAUCUGCCCUUAGGAUAGGAACAACCCCGGGAAACUGGGGCUAAUUCCCAAUAGGCGAAGAACUCUGGAAUGAGUCUUCACCCGAAAAGAACCCACGUUACGCUCGUGGAACUCGCCUAAGGAUGAGGCCGCGGCCGAUCAGGUUGUUGGUGAGGUAAUGGCUCACCAAGCCUUUUACCGGUGCGGGCCGUGAGAGCGGGAGCCCGGAGAUGGGUACUGAGACAAGGACCCAGGCCCUACGGGGCGCAGCAGUCGCGAAAACUUUGCAAUACACGCAAGUGUGACAGGGCUAUCCCGAGUGCCAUCCGCUGAGGAAGGCUUUUACCCAGUCUAGAAAGCUGGGAGAAUAAGGAGAGGGCAAGUCUGGUGUCAGCCGCCGCGGUAAUACCAGCUCUCCGAGUGGUGUGGAUGUUUAUUGGGCCUAAAGCAUCCGUAGCUGGCUAAGUCAGUCCCUUGUUAAAUCCACCGAAUUAAUCGUUGGAUUGCGGGGGAUACUGCUUGGCUAGGGGACGAGAGAGGCAGACGGUAUUUUCGGGGUAGGGGUGAAAUCCUAUAAUCCCGGGAAGACCACCAGUGGCGAAGGCUGUCUGCUAGAACGCGCCCGACGGUGAGGGAUGAAAGCUGGGGGAGCGAACCGGAUUAGAUACCCGGGUAGUCCCAGCUGUAAACGAUGCAGGCUAGGUGUUUGGACGGCCACGUGCCGUUCUAGUGCCGCAGGGAAGCUGUU
Molecule: ribosomal RNA, 751 nt
Filed under: uncultured crenarchaeote
Lineage: Archaea; Thermoproteati; Thermoproteota
Description: bacterial SSU rRNA
Rfam family: Archaeal small subunit ribosomal RNA
Source: RNAcentral